Molecule: ribosomal RNA, 484 nt
Filed under: uncultured bacterium
Lineage: Bacteria
Description: partial 16S ribosomal RNA
Rfam family: Bacterial small subunit ribosomal RNA
Source: RNAcentral
AUUGAACGCUGGCGGCAGGCCUAACACAUGCAAGUCGAGCGGAUGAAGGGAGCUUGGUCUUGGAUUCAGCGGCGGACGGGUGAGUAAUGCCUAGGAAUCUGCCUGGUAGUGGGGGAUAACGUCCGGAAACGGGCGCUAAUACCGCAUACGUCCUGAGGGGGAAAGUGGGGGAUCUUCGGACCUCACGCUAUCAGAUGAGCCUAGGUCGGAUUAGCUAGUUGGUGGGGUAAAGGCCUACCAAGGCGACGAUCCGUAACUGGUCUGAGAGGAUGAUCAGUCACACUGGAACUGAGACACGGUCCAGACUCCUACGGGAGGCAGCAGUGGGGAAUAUUGGACAAUGGGCGAAAGCCUGAUCCAGCCAUGCCGCGUGUGGGAAGAAGGUCUUCGGAUUGUAAAGCACUUUAGGUUGGAAGGAAGGGCAGUAAGUUAAUACCUUGCGGUAUUGACGUUACCAACAGAAUAAGCACCGGCUAACUACGUG